UGGGGAAUAUUGCACAAUGGGCGCAAGCCUGAUGCAGCCAUGCCGCGUGUGUGAAGAAGGCCUUCGGGUUGUAAAGCACUUUCAGCGGGGAGGAAGGCGUUAAGGUUAAUAACCUUGGCGAUUGACGUUACCCGCAGAAGAAGCACCGGCUAACUCCGUGCCAGCAGCCGCGGUAAUACGUAGGGCGCGAGCGUUGUCCGGAAUUAUUGGGCGUAAAGGGCUUGUAGGCGGCUUGUUGCGCCUGCUGUGAAAACGCGGGGCUUAACUUCGCGCGUGCAGUGGGUACGGGCAGGCUUGAGUGUGGUAGGGGUGACUGGAAUUCCAGGUGUAGCGGUGGAAUGCGCAGAUAUCUGGAGGAACACCGAUGGCGAAGGCAGGUCACUGAGCCAAUACUGACGCUGAGGAGCGAAAGCAUGGGUAGCGAACAGG
Molecule: ribosomal RNA, 429 nt
Filed under: Chloroflexota bacterium
Lineage: Bacteria; Bacillati; Chloroflexota
Description: Chloroflexi bacterium partial 16S ribosomal RNA
Rfam family: Bacterial small subunit ribosomal RNA
Source: RNAcentral